This is a long non-coding RNA of Amazona collaria (yellow-billed parrot), 1607 nucleotides long. NCBI's taxonomy places the organism in Eukaryota, Metazoa, Chordata, Aves, Psittaciformes, Psittacidae. The record is from Ensembl.
GGGCCGCCUCUCCCUCCCCAAGACAAUAAACCCAACGAGAACUUUUAAUCUGGGAACUCACACGCCUCGGCACCUCCCCGCCGCUCCCCGCGCAUCCCGGGCGCCGCCGAGCCCCGCUCCCCAGUCGCCGGUUCGCCUCCCCCUGCUCCUCGCCGACCCCUUUUCCGCGCCGCCGGGGAUCCCCGGUCAGUCCGCGGCUCCCCCGUGCCAAAUAAUGCGCUUCUCACACAUGGAGUCGCGGCGUCACUCGGCGGAGCAUGCGCGGGGCGGUCCCGGCACAGGGCGGCCCGUCCUGCGCUGCGGGCACGGCAGCGGCGGCGGCAGCAGCAGCGGCCGCACCGCGCGGCGCAGGGACCCAGCGCCGCUUCCGGGCAAUGGUGGAGCAGCACAACCCUACUACUCGGAGACACUUGGGGCUUCUCUCUCCUGCUCUCACAGGAGCGCUGCUGAAACUGUGGCUGUGGCCCACUGAAUCCAUCUCCACUAUUCAAUUCCCUACCUGCCUUUGGGACACCGACCCAGCUUCUCUGGAGACGCAGUGGACUCCCUAAAUGCAAUGAAAAUACCAGGGUGGGAAGUGCCAGAUCUCCCUUUGGCCCAAAGAGCUGAACUCCUAUCGAGAUAAGAGACAUUCAGUUAUACCUGCCUUUUCUUUUGUGCUGCAAUGAGGUUAACGUCCAGUGGCUCUGCCUCUUACAGGGACUUCUUCAAGCUGGGAACUGAGUAAACGUCGGAUGAAAGCUAAUUCCCGUUUGUCAAGUAGCUUUCCAAUGCAAAGCUAGUGUGUUUGUGUCCUUUCUGAACCACAGUUUGGUUUAAUAAGCCCCCAACUGGUUGCUUACAGACCAGUUUCUUCCUGCAAGACCCUCUGAAACCGCUCAUGGCAACGGGGAAUGAGGAUGUUUAAAGUGAAGCCAAGUGGGAGACAUGAACCAGCGGGCAGCAUCUUGCCUGCCUCAGGUAGGCAGCAGGCUGGAGGGCCACGGGCACACAGAGGCACUGUCAGCUUGAUGUGUGCGGAGCCAUCAGCUGCUUUACUCCCUGGAAGAUGUAGUCACUGCCGAAACAAGACUGGGUUCAUGUAAGAUGCAUCACGAAACUCUUGAGAAAGCCUGAGAAAAAGAAGUCAUCUGGACCAUGGAGAAGCUUAGUCUGCAGCUUAAAAGAUACACUUAAAAAUGUCCUUAAUACACUUAAAUGCCUCUUAAAAAUACACUUUUUUUCCCCCCUUAAAACUUUGUGUUUGGUGCACUCAGGAGAACGACUUCAGCAUUUCAACACAAAGUGCAUUCAGCUCAGUUCAGAUCACUGUUGGUACCACCGAUGUCGAGUUGUUCGGGAGUUAUAUUUAAGGGUCCUUCUCAACUGAGAGCAAGAAGAGGAGCUUUUUCUUCCCCUCUACUUUGUUCUCGUUUGGAAUCUGCUUCUAAACGCUGCGACGAGUCAGAAUUUGCCACAAUUUGCCACGUUCAUUACUUCCAAGUACUUAAACUGACACUGUUCUUUUACCUACAGCCCCUGCCACAGCACACACAGCCUGUGAGCAUCCUCCCUGAGACGCUAGCGUUUCACCACACUUGUCACAAAGACGGGAGGGGGAAAGUAGA